Long non-coding RNA from Sycon ciliatum, 665 nucleotides. RefSeq lists it as uncharacterized. The transcript is spliced from 3 exons. The record is from RefSeq and is a predicted model, not a curated record. NCBI's taxonomy places the organism in Eukaryota, Metazoa, Porifera, Calcarea, Leucosolenida, Sycettidae.
AACUUCCCCUUUAAGCUAAAGAGUAAUCGAUACGUGAAAAUCCACGAUCGUUUCAGCCCUACAGUAAUGAGGUUCGCCCACUUGUGACUUGUCGUGUCAUGUCGAGCAUUGGUUGUAAGACUUACCACCUCACGCUCGCCGCUAGGCGCUGCAUAUAUCUGCUACCGUGGUAUUUCACUUUCAGGCAUGGUGGUGGCCUGGCACAAGCGAAGCUUCUGGUAGUGUCCCGUCGUAACGCGGACAUGCGAACUUUACUUUUACUUACUCAGUGAAGUUUACUCUGCUCAAAGCGCCUCGAGGCGUCGAGAUGAGUGAGUUUGGACGAUAGUAGUGUGGAGCUGGGGCGAGGCGGAGGACUGGACUAGAAGUAGAAGUAGAAGUCGCUUGUCGCUCUGAUCUGGUGCCGGCCUUACAUACGAAAGACCUGUAUCCCGACUCCGCCGUACCGCUGAUGUUUACGACGUGGCAUACGCUACAGGCGCUAUGUGCGGUUGGCUGUGUGCGCUGUAGUUGUAUGUUGUAUGUGUAUGCUUUUCUCAUAUACGCUGUCAUUUUCACGCUAUAACUACCUGGUGGUUUUAGUGUUAGUUAUUCAGUUAGUUUCAGUUGUUCAUUCAGUCAGUCAUUGUUCAGUGUUAUUAGUCGAUGGAAGUGAAAUAUACUGU